GCCUCUCUAGGCUCAUGUUCCAGUCAACACUCACAUGGUCAGUCUCUCUCCUUUCAGAAAGUGAAAAGUUUAGAGUUCUAAAGCAAACAUCGAGGCCGAGGACAGGAUGAUCUGCUCAUAGGAGGACUGAGCCACAUCCAGCAAAGGACCCUUUGGCUACGCUCGGAUCCCCUUGUCUAGGCUCUGGGUACUGAGGGGCAGGAUGAAGGCGGUUCUGAACAGCUCUUGUGCUAGGAGAACGUGGAGGGUCAAGCCUCACAGCUCCUACAUGCCUCCCUAGCUGAGCUCUGUGAACUAAGAGAUCCAGCACUCACCUCUGACCUGCGAAUAGACUACAAGCUCCUGUCUGCCGCUGCUCCUAGGUUAAACCCCGGCACACGAUAAACGUUCGUGUGGAAGAAUGAUUGAAUGAACAAAUGUACAACACUGAAGGGCUGGUGUGCACCCAGUAGAAGGCCAAGUGCCGGCAGUCAUUUCAAGUUCCUUGGGAAGUAAGAAGGCACCUGAAUCAUAAAAAUGGAAUAAAAAACUUUAAAUG
This 538-nucleotide long non-coding RNA is filed under the name Rattus norvegicus (Norway rat). RNAcentral's name for it is "long non-coding RNA NONRATT007099". The record is from RNAcentral. Lineage: Eukaryota; Metazoa; Chordata; Mammalia; Rodentia; Muridae.